UCUGUCUCAAUAUCACAGAAUAAAAUGAAGGUGGUGUUGUUUCAUGCUUUCCCAGCAGGGGGCAGCACUUCAGUACACAAUACACUCAGAAUGAAUGUUCAGAGCACAGUCUGACGUUCUAUUAGUCCCUUUUUGUAUGUGUUUAUCUCUGUGAUGAAUAAAGUACAGUGUUUGUUAACAUUAAAGUGAUUUCAAUGUAUCCAGCAGUCCUUAAUUUAUAGCACUUGUUCUUAAGCGUGCUUCCUAAAAAGGAAAGAAUCGUUAAUACAUCCAUUAUAAUCAUAUAAUAGUCAUUUUAGAGUGUUUCACAUGUAAAUCCUGUCCAGUGGAGGAGGAAAAGGACAGGUAAAAAAGAAAGAUCUAAACGUCCAAAACAUUAUUUUGCCCCCAAAGUCUAGAAUUGGUCUAUCAUCAUUGCAGGUUUGUUGUCCAAUGACUAAUUUUGGGCAGAGGCAUGGCAAAAAGGCAGAGGAGUCAGUUGAAAAGCAAAGCAAAGAAAAGAAAAGAAAAGAAAAUUGGCAAAAAAAAAAAGUGUAUAUAUUUUACAUUAUCUUCGUUGGGGGCCCCUAAUAUGUUUAGAAUUAUCUUAUAAAUUAUAGGCAGACAAACAAAUAAAUAAACAAUUAUUAUUGUUUUUUUUCUGUUUAAGAAAUUGACAGUCAGUUUGGAGCAGCAAUAAUAAUAAUUCUGCUCUUUUGUGUCAUUAGUCCGUGUGUUUAGAGCGUAUACAGCAUUCUGUUUAAACCCACGUGAUGUAUCGAUGCUGUACCAAGCUGACACGAGCGGGUAGCUAGUUAGCUCAUCGUUUUUGGAGCCUAUUAACCUAGAGGACUGUAAACUGUUUAUUGAAAUUAUUUUUAUAAUCUGUCAGGUCUGAUUCCAUAAAGCUAUAAACAUAAUAACUUUAUAUUCUCUACGAUGCAUUUUAAUUGAUUUUUGUAUUAUCUUUUGACAAAUAUGUUAGAAGGCGUACAUGCAUUAUUUAUUUAUUGUUAUUAUCGUUUCUCGCCUGGGGGCGCAGCACUCGGUCUACAGAACCGCCGCUGAUCUAAUAUGAGAACGCGAGGGAACGCUGACAUCAUCAAAUCCGUUUCACUCACAACAACCGAUGACUUAUUCCCUGAUUAAAAUCUUCAACAUGAAUAUUGGCUUCUUGUCAUUUCCUCCCUGCUGUCGUUCCGGUUUGCAAGUGUGAGGAGGAACGAAAAUGAACAGUGUGGGGAGAUGUGAGGAGAUUUUGGGACACAUGAGGAGAUGCGAGGAGAUUUUGGGAGACAUGGGGUGAUGUAGGGAGACAUGAGGGGACAUGAUGAGAUGUGAGGAGAUGUGAAGAGAUGUGAGGAGACAUGUGGAGACGUGAGAUGUGAGGAGACGUGGAGACGUGAGAUGUGAGGAGACAUGCUGAGACGUGAGGGGAAUGGGGAUAUGUGAGUGGAAGUGGGGAGACGUGAGGAGAUGUGAAGAGAUGUGAGGAGACAUGUGGAGACGUGAGAUGUGAGGAGACGUGGAUACGUGAGAUGUGAGGAGACAUGCUGAGACGUGAGGGGAAUGGGGAUACGUGAGUGGAAGUGGGGAGAUGUGAGGAGAUGUGAGGAAACAUGAGGCGACAUAGGGAGACAUAAGUGAAUGUGUGGAGAGAUGUGAGGAGAUGUUGGAGGACAUGGGGAGAUGAGGAGGAUGUGAAGAGACAUAGGGAGACGUGAGAUGUGGGGAGACGUAAGGAGAGGCAAGGAGGCAAGUGGAGACAUGAGGAUAUGUGGAGAGACAUGAGGAGACAUGAGGGGACGUGAGGAGACGUGGAAGAACGUGAGGAGACAUGGGGGAACAUGGGGGAGCGAGAUGUGAGGGGACAUGAGGAGAUGUGGGGAGAUGUGUGGGGGAAACCCAAAGUCUCAUAAUUAAGAAAUGGGAGACAUUUAGUGCAGAUGAAAUUUUAAUGGUGUGUUAAUAAUUUAACAGAGCAGAUGGACUGCCCCCCUAACCCCCCCCUCACACACACACACACACACA
Molecule: long non-coding RNA, 2010 nt
Organism: Ictalurus punctatus (channel catfish)
Lineage: Eukaryota; Metazoa; Chordata; Actinopteri; Siluriformes; Ictaluridae
Source: Ensembl